CCCGCAACGAGCGCAACCCUUAUCCUUUGUUGCCAGCGGUUAGGCCGGGAACUCAAAGGAGACUGCCAGUGAUAAACUGGAGGAAGGUGGGGAUGACGUCAAGUCAUCAUGGCCCUUACGACCAGGGCUACACACGUGCUACAAUGGCGCAUACAAAGAGAAGCGACCUCGCGAGAGCAAGCGGACCUCAUAAAGUGCGUCGUAGUCCGGAUUGGAGUCUGCAACUCGACUCCAUGAAGUCGGAAUCGCUAGUAAUCGUGGAUCAGAAUGCCACGGUGAAU
RNAcentral lists this ribosomal RNA (281 nucleotides) under Salmonella enterica. RNAcentral's name for it is "partial 16S ribosomal RNA". It matches the Rfam family "Bacterial small subunit ribosomal RNA", at positions 1086 to 1367 of the family's 1533-position model. Lineage: Bacteria; Pseudomonadati; Pseudomonadota; Gammaproteobacteria; Enterobacterales; Enterobacteriaceae. The record is from RNAcentral.